CCUACGGGAGGCAGCAGUGAGGAAUAUUGGUCAAUGGACGAAAGUCUGAACCAGCCAUGCCGCGUGCAGGAAGACGGCUCUAUGAGUUGUAAACUGCUUUUGUACGAGGGUAAACGCAGAUACGCGUAUCUGUCUGAAAGUAUCGUACGAAUAAGGAUCGGCUAACUCCGUGCCAGCAGCCGCGGUAAUACGGAGGAUUCAAGCGUUAUCCGGAUUUAUUGGGUUUAAAGGGUGCGUAGGCGGUCGGAUAAGUUAGAGGUGAAAUCCCGAGGCUCAACUUCGGAAUUGCCUCUGAUACUGGUCGUCUAGAGAGGAGUUGCGGUAGGCGGAAUGUAUGGUGUAGCGGUGAAAUGCUUAGAGAUCAUACAGAACACCGAUUGCGAAGGCAGCUUACCAAGCUACUUCUGACGUUGAGGCACGAAAGCGUGGGGAGCAAACAGGAUUAGAUACCCUUGUAGUC
Molecule: ribosomal RNA, 460 nt
Filed under: uncultured bacterium
Lineage: Bacteria
Description: partial 16S ribosomal RNA
Rfam family: Bacterial small subunit ribosomal RNA
Source: RNAcentral